Molecule: ribosomal RNA, 425 nt
Filed under: uncultured Nitrososphaerota archaeon
Lineage: Archaea; Thermoproteati; Nitrososphaerota
Description: bacterial SSU rRNA
Rfam family: Archaeal small subunit ribosomal RNA
Source: RNAcentral
GCGCGAAAACUACUACAAUGCACGCAAGUGUGAUAGGGCAACCCCUCGUGCUCAACUAACGUUGGGCUUUUAUUAUGUGUAAUGUACAUAAUGAAUAAGGGGUGGGGCAAGACCGGUGCCAGCAGCCGCGGUAAUACCGGCGCCACGAGUGGAGUUCACUAUUAUUGGGUCUAAAAGUGUCCGUAGCUGGUUUAUUAAGUCUCUUGUGAAAUUCCUGUUGCUUAACUCAGAAACUGCAAGAGAUACUGGUAAACUCGAGACCGGAAGAGGUAACAAGUAUUGUUUGGGUAGCGGUAAAAUAGCUAUAAUCCUUACAAGACUAACUAAGGCGAAGGCGAUGUUACUUGGACGGAUCUGACAGGUGAGGGGACGAGAGCUGGGGGAGCGAACCGGAUUAGAUACCCGGGUAGUCCCAGCCGUAAACG